UUGACCUCGAAUCAGGUAGGAAUACCCGCUGAACUUAAGCAUAUCAAUAAGCGGAGGAAAAGAAACCAACCGGGAUUACCUCAGUAACGGCGAGUGAAGCGGUAACAGCUCAAAUUUGAAAUCUGGCUCCUCUGGAGUCCGAGUUGUAAUUUGUAGAAGAUGCUUUGGGUUGUGGGUUCGGCCUAAGUUCCUUGGAACAGGACGUCAUAGAGGGUGAGAAUCCCGUAUGUGGCCGAGGCCCGCGCCUAUGUAAAGCUCUUUCAACGAGUCGAGUUGUUUGGGAAUGCAGCUCAAAAUGGGUGGUAAAUUUCAUCUAAAGCUAAAUAUGGGCCAGAGACCGAUAGCGCACAAGUAGAGUGAUCGAAAGAUGAAAAGCACUUUGGAAAGAGAGUUAAACAGUACGUGAAAUUGUUGAAAGGGAAGCGCUUGCACCCAGACUUGGGCGCUGCUGAUCACCUUGCGGUCUCCGCGAGUGCACUCGACAGCGCACAGGCCAGCAUCGGUUCGGGUGGCUGGAUAAAGGCCGUAGGAACGUAGCUCCCUUCGGGGAGUGUUAUAGCCUACGGUGCCAUGCAGCCCAGCCGGACCGAGGACCGCGCCUUCGGGCUAGGAUGCUGGCGUAAUGGGUGUAAGCGACCCGUCUUGAAACACGGACCAAGGAGUCUAACAUCUAUGCGAGUGUUUGGGUGGCAAACCCAUACGCGGAAUGAAAGUGAACGUAGGU
RNAcentral lists this ribosomal RNA (724 nucleotides) under Pseudoidium sp. YNMH12360. Its description in RNAcentral is "eukaryotic LSU rRNA". It matches the Rfam family "Eukaryotic large subunit ribosomal RNA", at positions 1 to 736 of the family's 3401-position model. The record is from RNAcentral. Lineage: Eukaryota; Fungi; Ascomycota; Leotiomycetes; Helotiales; Erysiphaceae.